AUUGGAGUAGUUUAUAAAAAAAUGUUAGUUUGUGGUACUAUAGAUGUAGAGAUACCUCUGAUU
Molecule: transfer RNA, 63 nt
Filed under: Spongicola levigatus
Lineage: Eukaryota; Metazoa; Arthropoda; Malacostraca; Decapoda; Spongicolidae
Description: tRNA-His
Source: RNAcentral